GGGGAUGUAGCUCAGUGGUAGAGCACUUGCUUAAUGUGCAGGAGGUCCUGGAUUCCAUCUCCC
Molecule: transfer RNA, 63 nt
Filed under: Fukomys damarensis (Damara mole-rat)
Lineage: Eukaryota; Metazoa; Chordata; Mammalia; Rodentia; Bathyergidae
Rfam family: tRNA
About the family: Transfer RNA (tRNA) molecules are approximately 80 nucleotides in length. Their secondary structure includes four short double-helical elements and three loops (D, anti-codon, and T loops).
Source: Rfam by way of RNAcentral